CUGUGGGGUUUCAAAAUUUCACCUCGUCCUUGGUAAGGAUGAGGUCACCAGUUCAAAUCUGGUUAGCAGCUCCA
RNAcentral lists this transfer RNA (74 nucleotides) under Caudoviricetes sp. RNAcentral's name for it is "tRNA-Thr". The record is from RNAcentral. Lineage: Duplodnaviria; Heunggongvirae; Uroviricota; Caudoviricetes.